CAACAUUCAUCAUCAGAAAAAUUAGGUUCAGCUGCAUUGGUAUCAUAUUCAUCGGAAUUGUCAUCCUCGUCGACAUAUUGGUCGUUCUCAUCUGUCUCUUCUGAAUCUGCCUUUUCUUCCUCCACCCUCGUUCUCUAUGCAGAAGAUCUAGUGGCCCUAAGAAGGUCAGCUGAUGUCCCUGAAGCAUCUAUAACCAUGUCCCAUGUCAAUUCUUCAUACCCCUCGACUCAUCAUCAUCAAC
This 241-nucleotide long non-coding RNA is filed under the name Amborella trichopoda. RNAcentral describes it as "long non-coding RNA (ATRI_LNC002781)". Lineage: Eukaryota; Viridiplantae; Streptophyta; Magnoliopsida; Amborellales; Amborellaceae. The record is from RNAcentral.